Molecule: ribosomal RNA, 254 nt
Filed under: uncultured bacterium
Lineage: Bacteria
Description: partial 16S ribosomal RNA
Rfam family: Bacterial small subunit ribosomal RNA
Source: RNAcentral
UACGGGGGGAGCAAGCGUUGUUCGGAUUUACUGGGCGUAAAGGGCGCGUAGGCGGUCAGCACAAGUCAGUUGUGAAAUCUCCGGGCUUAACUCGGAAAGGUCAACUGAUACUGUGCGACUAGAGUGCGGAAGGGGCAACUGGAAUUCUUGGUGUAGCGGUGAAAUGCGCAGAUAUCAGGAGGAACACCAAUGGCGAAGGCAGCUCGCUGGGACGGUACUGACGCUGAGACGCGAAAGCGUGGGGAGCAAACAGG